CCUACGGGAGGCAGCAGUGGGGAAUUUUUCGCAAUGGGCGCAAGCCUGACGAAGCAACGCCGCGUGGAGGAUGUAGGUCUUCGGAUUGUAAACUCCUGUCGACCGGGACGAAUGCACCCGACCUAAUACGUCGAAGUGUUGACGGUACCGGUGGAGGAAGCCACGGCUAACUCUGUGCCAGCAGCCGCGGUAAUACAGAGGUGGCAAGCGUUGUUCGGAAUUACUGGGCGUAAAGGGCGCGUAGGCGGCCUUGUAAGUCUCGUGUGAAAGCCCUCGGCUUAACUGAGGAUCUGCACGGGAUACUGCGAGGCUUGAGUUCGGGAGAGGAAAGCGGAAUUCCGGGUGUAGCGGUGAAAUGCGUAGAUAUCCGGAGGAACACCAGUGGCGAAGGCGGCUUUCUGGACCGACACUGACGCUGAGGCGCGAAAGCUAGGGGAGCAAACGGGAUUAGAUACCCCGGUAGUCCUAGCUGUAAACGAUGAUCGCUGGGUGUGGGGGGUUUUUACUCCCUCCGUGCCGAAGCUAACGCAUUAAAGCGAUCCGCCUGGGGGUGUACGGUCGCAAAGGCUGAAACUCAAAGGAAUUGACGG
Molecule: ribosomal RNA, 590 nt
Filed under: uncultured bacterium
Lineage: Bacteria
Description: bacterial SSU rRNA
Rfam family: Bacterial small subunit ribosomal RNA
Source: RNAcentral